GACGAACGCUGGCGGCGUGCUUAACACAUGCAAGUCGAGCGGAAAGGCCCUUCGGGGUACUCGAGCGGCGAACGGGUGAGUAACACGUGAGUAACCUGCCCCAGACUUUGGGAUAACCCUCGGAAACGGGGGCCAAUACCGGAUACGACACAGCUUCGCAUGGGGUCCGUGUGGAAAGUUUUUCGGUUUGGGAUGGGCUCGCGGCCUACCAGCUUGUUGGUGGGGUGAUGGCCUACCAAGGCGACGACGGGUAGCCGGCCUGAGAGGGCGACCGGCCACACUGGGACUGAGACACGGCCCAGACUCCUACGGGAGGCAGCAGUGGGGAAUAUUGCACAAUGGGCGGAAGCCUGAUGCAGCGACGCCGCGUGAGGGAUGACGGCCUUCGGGUUGUAAACCUCUUUCAGCAGGGACGAAGCGUAAGUGACGGUACCUGCAGAAGAAGCGCCGGCCAACUACGUG
RNAcentral lists this ribosomal RNA (462 nucleotides) under uncultured bacterium. Its description in RNAcentral is "partial 16S ribosomal RNA". It matches the Rfam family "Bacterial small subunit ribosomal RNA", at positions 28 to 507 of the family's 1533-position model. The record is from RNAcentral.